This 1490-nucleotide ribosomal RNA is filed under the name Globisporangium paroecandrum. Its description in RNAcentral is "eukaryotic LSU rRNA". It matches the Rfam family "Eukaryotic large subunit ribosomal RNA", at positions 1 to 1289 of the family's 3401-position model. Lineage: Eukaryota; Oomycota; Peronosporomycetes; Pythiales; Pythiaceae. The record is from RNAcentral.
UUGGACCUGAUAUCAGACAAGACUACCCGCUGAACUUAAGCAUAUUAAUAAGCGGAGGAAAAGAAACUAACCAGGAUUCCCCUAGUAACGGCGAGUGAAGCGGGAUGAGCUCAAGCUUAAAAUCUCUGUGCCAGUUUGGCAUGGCGAAUUGUAGUCUAUAGAGGCGUUGUCAGUGCGGCUGUGCGGGGUAAGUUCCUUGGAAGAGGACAGCAUCGAGGGUGAUACUCCCGUUUGUACCUGUGCGGCUUGCGCGUACGACACGUUUUCUUCGAGUCGCGUUGUUUGGGACUGCAGCGCAAAGUAGGUGGUAAAUUCCAUCUAAAGCUAAAUAUUGGUGCGAGACCGAUAGCGAACAAGUACCGUGAGGGAAAGAUGAAAAGAACUUUGAAAAGAGAGUUAAAGAGUACCUGAAACUGCUGAAAGGGAAGCGAAUCGUAUCCAGUGUCUAUAAUCUGCGGCAUAUUUCAUUGGCGGCGGUGUGCGUGCUUUUGCGUCGGAAGCGGCUUUUGUUGCUCUGUGCUUUUGCUGUGCGCGCUGUUGCUGGUGCCCUGUGUUGCGGUGGGACGUCAGAGUCAGUUCGUAUGCUGCGGGAAAUGGCCGCCGAGGAGGUAGGUCAGGAUUUCGGUCUUGGCUGUUAUAUCUUGGUGGUUUGUUGUCGUGGUUGGGACUGAGGUGCCUACAAUGUGCUUUUGAGUGUGCCGGGUUCUCAUUUGGUGGACUGUUUGGAUAGCUUGCUAUGCUUGUGGUUUUUUCAUCGAGUGAUUGAGUCUGGUGGUAACUUAUUGCCGUUCGGGACUUUGACGAAAUGGAGCGAUUCGGCCCGUCUUGAAACACGGACCAAGGAGUCUAACAUGUGUGCAAGUGUUAGGGUGUGGAAACCCGAGCGCGUAAUGAAAGUAAAGGGUGGCUUUAGCUGCCUGAGGUAGGAAACCUUUGUUCUCAGAGGUGGCACUAUCGACCGAUCAAGAACCUUCGUGGUGAAAGAUUUGAGUAUGAGCACAUAUGUUGGUACCCGAAAGAUGGUGAACUAUGCCUGAGUAGGGUGAAGCCAGGGGAAACUCUGGUGGAAGCUCGUAGCGAUUCUGACGUGCAAAUCGAUCGUCAAACUUGGGUAUAGGGGCGAAAGACUAAUCGAACCAUCUAGUAGCUGGUUCCCUCCGAAAUUUCCCUCAGGAUAGCAGCAACUUAUUUACGAUAGUUUUAUGAGGUAAAGCGAAUGAUUAGAGGACUGGGGGAAGCAACUUCCUCCACCUAUUCUCAAACUUUAAAUCUGUAAGACCUGCAGGUUUCUUAAUUGAACUUGUGGAUGUGAAUAUCAAGUUGCUAGUGGGCCAUACGGGGUAAGCUCGUCUGGCGAUGCGGGAUGAUCCGAACGCAAAGUUAAAGUGCCAAAAUACCCGCUCACCUAGAUCCCAUAAAAGGUGUUGGUUCAUUUAGACAGCAGGACGGUGGCCAUGGAAGUCGGAAUCCGCUAAGGAGUGUGUAACAAC